RNAcentral lists this ribosomal RNA (482 nucleotides) under uncultured bacterium. RNAcentral describes it as "partial 16S ribosomal RNA". It matches the Rfam family "Bacterial small subunit ribosomal RNA", at positions 30 to 507 of the family's 1533-position model. The record is from RNAcentral.
AUUGAACGCUGGCGGCAGGCCUAACACAUGCAAGUCGAGCGGAUGAAGGGAGCUUGCUCCUGGAUUCAGCGGCGGACGGGUGAGUAAUGCCUAGGAAUCUGCCUGGUAGUGGGGGAUAACGUCCGGAAACGGGCGCUAAUACCGCAUACGUCCUGAGGGAGAAAGUGGGGGAUCUUCGGACCUCACGCUAUCAGAUGAGCCUAGGUCGGAUUAGCUAGUUGGUGGGGUAAAGGCCUACCAAGGCGACGAUCCGUAACUGGUCUGAGAGGAUGAUCAGUCACACUGGAACUGAGACACGGUCCAGACUCCUACGGGAGGCAGCAGUGGGGAAUAUUGGACAAUGGGCGAAAGCCUGAUCCAGCCAUGCCGCGUGUGAAGAAGGUCUUUGGAUUGUAAAGCACUUUAAGUUGGGAGGAAGGGCAGUAAGUUAAUACCUUGCUGUUUUGACGUUACCAACAGAAUAAGCACCGGCUAACUUCGUG